GCAUUGUCUCGAAAGACGAUGCUCUCGA
RNAcentral lists this ribosomal RNA (28 nucleotides) under Cucurbitaceae sp. GUY-72. RNAcentral describes it as "partial 25S ribosomal RNA". The record is from RNAcentral. Lineage: Eukaryota; Viridiplantae; Streptophyta; Magnoliopsida; Cucurbitales; Cucurbitaceae.